GAUGCCUGUCUGCCAGACAAAGUCUCUCCCAUCAGCAAAGGGCAGAUGGACACCCAGGAUGGAAAGGAGCCAUUUGUGAGGCACAAGCAUCAGCCUUUGCUGCCUUGCAGCCAGGGGCUGAUGGAGCUGGUGCUGGUAUACCAGGGGUGGAUGCCCCUGCGGGAUGGCAGCUUCAAAAUCCUUCCUUGCCAUGGAAGAACUCUUUAUCUCUAAGACAGGCCAGCUGCAGCCAAAAGCAAAAUUACUCCAGUGGGGGCCAAGUAUAACACAGGCAACUCUGGCUGGCUUAUCCGUGUAAUCCUCCCUUCGGCCCUCAAAACACUUGAGCAGUAGACAAAGCUAUUGUUUUCCUGUCUAUCUCUCUCUUUCCCUUCCUGAUUUCUUACUUUCCCUCCUGCUGCCUUUCUGUCCUCUCUUUCUCUUACCUUACCUCACUACCAUCUUCUCUCUGUUUUUGUCAACAGUUAUCACAAACCUGAAGUGUGUCAGACCCUGUCUUGGACAGACGUGGAGUAUUAACUGGUGUCUAGGAUGGGUCUCUUACUUAUGGAAAAAGGAGUAAAGCCCCACCCUUUCCUUUUGGGAGGAGGUCUUAGGUUGCAGCUUGUGGGUGAGGGGCAUUGAAGAGUAAAGAAAUGUUGCUGGUAUGAUGAGUAAAACCUCAGAACACAUUUCUUAUAGCAACAGAAUUAUAAACAAGAGUUGCUUGUAGUUAAAAUACUACUAGUAUCUCUUCAAGUAUUUAGGGGUCAAAUAAGAUUUUAUGGAUCAGUCUGGAAAUCCAAUCAGCAUCUUAGGUGAAAGGAUUCUGAUUCUAAACUUUUAGACACUAUCUCACAUGCACUGAGAGCUGUAUCUAGUGUUCUUCCAUUUCCUCUCUCUGUGCUUCUCAGGGCCACUUAGACUUCCUUCAUCCCCAGAACCAAAGGGACCAGAAACUUAGAAGAUGUCACAAUUUUAUCUGCUACUGACCCUGCAGGCAGGGCUGCCUGGUGGUGAAACAAUAUGUUACGUAACAGAGUCGAGACAGGUUUGUGUCGGAUGGAUGCAGGCUCCAACCCUGUGCUGCACUACCUGGCUGCCCAAUCUCCCUCAACGAGCCUCAGUUUUUCACCUGUAAAGUGGGGAUAAUGCAUCCACAUCUCAGGAUCAUUGCGAAGAGUGAGGACAUCACAUAUAAAAAACUGGCCCACAGAAAGCAUGGAGUAAAUGCCAGCUGUUACAGCAGCUUCUGUAGGAAGGCAGAGCCUGCCUUGCAGCCACUCCACUGGCAAACGUGUCAAUAGGAAGAGUGAGAAGUGAGCAAUGCCUCCUGAGCUGAUGCCUACAGAAGAGCUGUGACAAUCUGCCUCUAGAACAACCUCAGCAAGCUGCCUGGCCCAGGGGAAAUCCAACCGUGGUGACUUUGCCCAGAUUCUGCAAGAUGCUUUCUAAUUGUUGGUGUUCACGAGGGACAAGCAACAGCUGAGCUCAUUCCCUUCCCAUCAGUUUGCAACAUCUGCCCCAGCCCUUACUGACAGUAGAGAAAAAUAAGGACUUUCCGAUCACACCUUUAGGCCACCAAUCUUCAAUGAGUUACUGGGCCCUUCCAGAAAUCAGAUUUUCUAACUGGUCCCUGCAUUGGCUCCAGCAGCUUUGGAGUGUGAGUGCUGUCUCUUUGGAGAGAUUGUGGGCUCCUUGAGGGCUCUGUCUUUUUGUUCUGUGUAGCCCCAGCACAUAGUAGGGGAAGACACACAGGAAAUCCAAAAGCAUGGGAAGACCCUGGGCUGAGGGAGCAGAGGCUGAAACUCUGGGAAAAGCUGUGAGGACCACAAAAGUGGUUGGGCCCCUAAUGGCCUCGAGACCCGGGGUACAACAAACCCCACAGGAGGCCCAAUGACAUCCCCUGUCCUAACUCAGCUCAGGAAGAGGCAGCUGCCAUGGUUUAAAGAAUGUGGGUUUUUAGGGUAGAUAGACCCCACAUCUGCUUCAUACCUUGCUGCAUGAUUUAUUUCCCUUCUCUGAGCCUUAGUUUCCUCAUUACAAAAAUGUAAAUAAAAAUAUCUUCUUUACAUG
This is a long non-coding RNA of Pan troglodytes (chimpanzee), 2055 nucleotides long. RefSeq lists it as uncharacterized. The transcript is spliced from 3 exons. The record is from RefSeq and is a predicted model, not a curated record. NCBI's taxonomy places the organism in Eukaryota, Metazoa, Chordata, Mammalia, Primates, Hominidae.